RNAcentral lists this ribosomal RNA (512 nucleotides) under uncultured bacterium. RNAcentral's name for it is "bacterial SSU rRNA". It matches the Rfam family "Bacterial small subunit ribosomal RNA", at positions 17 to 518 of the family's 1533-position model. The record is from RNAcentral.
UCCUGGCUUAGGAUGAACGCUAGCUACAGGCUUAACACAUGCAAGUCGAGGGGCAGCAUUGGGAUAGCUUGCUAUUCAGAUGGCGACCGGCGCACGGGUGAGUAACGCGUAUCCAACCUUCCUGCCAGUAGGGAACAGCCCGGCGAAAGUCGGAUUAAUGCCCUAUGUUCUUCAAUGCGGACAUCUAAGUUGAAGGAAAGAUUCAUCGCUGGCAGAUGGGGAUGCGUCCGAUUAGCUUGCCGGCGGGGUAACGGCCCACCGGGGCGACGAUCGGUAGGGGUUCUGAGAGGAAGGUCCCCCACACUGGUACUGAGACACGGACCAGACUCCUACGGGAGGCAGCAGUGAGGAAUAUUGGUCAAUGGGCGUAAGCCUGAACCAGCCAAGUAGCGUGCAAGGAUGACGGCCCUACGGGUUGUAAACUGCUUUUAUGCGGGGAUAAAGUGCGGCACGUGUGCCGCUUUGCAGGUACCGCAUGAAUAAGGACCGGCUAAUUCCGUGCCAGCCGCGGC